RNAcentral lists this non-coding RNA (29 nucleotides) under Mus musculus (house mouse). Lineage: Eukaryota; Metazoa; Chordata; Mammalia; Rodentia; Muridae. The record is from RNAcentral.
UNGAAAAAGUUUUUGAAAGGGGCUCUGGG